GAUGAACGCUGGCGGCGUGCCUAACACAUGCAAGUCGAACGGUGAAGCGCCUUCCUUUUUGGUCGGUGUGGAUGAGUGGCCAACGGGUGAGCAACACGUUAGCAACCUGCUCCCUCCUUCUUGACAACCGCAUGAAAGUGUGGCUAACACGGGAUAUUCUGGGUCUGUUGCAUGAUGGGUCUGGGAAAGAUUUUGUUUCGGUUGGGGAUGGGUUCGCGGCCUAUUAGCUUGUUGGUGGGGUGAUGGCCUACCAAGGCGGUGACGAGUAGCCGGCCUGAGAGGGUGGGCGACAACGCAGGGGCUGAAACGCGGAGAAGCCUACUACAGGCGGCAGUAGUGGAGAUUCCUGCACGAGGGGAGGAAGGAUGGUGCAGCGACGCGGCGGGGAGGAUGGUGGCCUGCGGGUUGUGAACCUCUUUCAGGAGAGAAGAAGGGCUGCCUCAAUUAUGCAUGGGUUGACGGUAGCUGAAUAAGAAGCGCCGGCUAACUACGUG
RNAcentral lists this ribosomal RNA (494 nucleotides) under uncultured bacterium. RNAcentral's name for it is "partial 16S ribosomal RNA". It matches the Rfam family "Bacterial small subunit ribosomal RNA", at positions 28 to 507 of the family's 1533-position model. The record is from RNAcentral.